This 135-nucleotide ribosomal RNA is filed under the name Nematalosa erebi (Australian river gizzard shad). RNAcentral describes it as "partial 16S ribosomal RNA". Lineage: Eukaryota; Metazoa; Chordata; Actinopteri; Clupeiformes; Clupeidae. The record is from RNAcentral.
ACUAAACAGCUAGCUCAACCCAACACGACCAAGCCUACAACAUACACUAGUCUAAUAAAAACUAAUCUUGUAAACUAAACCAUUCGACCACCCCAGUACGGGCGACGGAAAAGGACCCACGAAGCCAUAGAUAAA